AUAUGAAGUUGUUAAAACAGAGAAAAUAAAUCAAAUUUGGAAUUCAAGAACAAACCAAUUGGAUUGACAAGAGAAGAAAUCCUAGUGGUAAGAUGAGAACGGAGACGCUCAAGAUACACCAUGCGCUACAUGAAAGGUUGUCAACAAGGCCAUGAACUGAGGUUGAAGAUCCGUAGGAAAGCCUGGAUAAGCCAAUGUCUUGAGAUACAACCCUCGAAGAUCACCACCGGCGGUUGCCGUCGCAGCUGAAACCUGCAAGUAGUUAUGCCUCAAAACAUCAGGCAUAAGCAUGGAGAGAGACGAGCAGCAGCAGACCCAGAUUUCCCCAACCUCAAGAAUGCCAUCUCCCUUCUGCGAAAUCCUACAGCCAACCGCAGAGAGCUUGUCGAUGAUGCUGGUUAGAUGACAAGGGAUGACAGGGGACAACGAAAUACAAGAUCGGGUAAUUGCUGCUGCAACCAUGAAAGUGCCGGUUUCUAUUCUGUCCGGUAUCACGGUGAACUGAGCUCCAUGCAACGACCUUCUACCGUCGAUGACAAGCGUGCGAGUGCCAACCCCUUUGAUCUGCGCCCCGCAGGCGAGGAGGAACCGAGCGAGGUCUGCCACUUCGGGUUCCUGGAGAAGGAACGAGUAGUAGCCUAUUUUAGUCGGGAGAUACAACGAAAACUUGAUGUGUUUGAGAGUUCGAACCUGAGCUACGUUGGUGAGCACGGACACUCCCUCUGCCAUUGAAGCCGCCAUCAUGAGGGUUUCACUUGCGCCAACACUCGGGUAAUCGAGAUGGAACCGUCCUCCGUGCUAUGAAACACAGCAGCUAUAGGUAAUCACGAAGGCAAAGCCAAGAAUUGACUUAACUCAGUUCCACGACAGCGCCGAGAGCGGAGAGGCCACGGAGGUAGAGAUCAACAGGGCGCGCUCCGAUGCUGCACCCGCC
Long non-coding RNA from Musa acuminata AAA Group (dessert banana), 934 nucleotides. RefSeq lists it as uncharacterized. Lineage: Eukaryota; Viridiplantae; Streptophyta; Magnoliopsida; Zingiberales; Musaceae. The record is from RefSeq and is a predicted model, not a curated record. The transcript is spliced from 3 exons.